Canis lupus familiaris (dog) is the source of this 3559-nucleotide long non-coding RNA. RefSeq lists it as uncharacterized. The transcript is spliced from 5 exons. Lineage: Eukaryota; Metazoa; Chordata; Mammalia; Carnivora; Canidae. The record is from RefSeq and is a predicted model, not a curated record.
CCAUAUGCAACCGCGGUGGCGCAGAGUGUCCCCCUGUGUCCAGGCCUGCUGGGUCAUCACCAGCCAGGCCGAGCGCUCCUGACGGGCCCCACGUCCAGCCGCUGGAAGGGCUCGCUGCCACGCCCCGGCCUUGCUCCCUGGAAUCUGCCCGCCCCUCCCCCCCAGCUGCACCCCAGGGGCUUGGCUUCUAGCGCUGAGAUCAGACUGACCCUCGUCCCAGGAACACUGCCCCGGGUUUCCUAGUGGAGAGGCCAGUUAGCAGAUACUUUCUGAGCUCCUGCGGGGAUCUGGAUGCUUCGUCUUCACGGUGCUCAGAACUCGCAGGUUCAAUGAAGGUUGGCAGGAGGGCUCUGCUCCUUGUAAUCACUCGGACAUCCUGGCUGAUGGAGGCUUCAUCUUGAUGUGUGUUCCUAAUGAUCACCAGAGCAGAGUGGCAAAUCACAUGCUGCUUCUCAAAGAGUCUGCCCUUUGUCACUUCCACCCAUGUCGAUAGACCAAAGCGGUUCACACGACCAUACUUAGUUUCAAAGAGGGUGGGAAAAAACAACCCUAUUCUGAAAGAUCAAGAGCCAGUCUUACCAAGUCAAGAGUACUAAUGGCAACUUCAGAGAGGAGAACAGGGAGUCAUACAAGAUUCUUAAAACCAAAACCAAAACCAAGCAAUCCAUGGUUGAGCUAAUAUAUCAAGUGCGAAGGAGCGCAUAGAUGAUCUAAAAUUGGGUGCCUGGGGAAAGGGACCUGGGAGACACGUUGGACCAUCAGAGAGCCGGAAGGUUAGGGUUUUCUGGGCACUCACAGUAAGCGAGAUACUUAUUCUGGCUUCGCAUCAGUACCUCCAAGGGGAAAAGAGAUACAGUGAUGGUAAUGUAUACAGCCUUCCUGUUAGUCUGAGGGUUAAUGAAAGUUGGGGGAGGAGGUACUUAACUCCCUGUUUUCUAUUCAGUUUUGAGGAGAGCGGCCUCUUCAACAAAAAGAACAUUUUUUUGAGUUCACAGUACAUUUCCACAGUGACAAAUUUUGCCAACCUCACCAAAAUUUAAGCUAAACCUGAAUAAUAAGUUGACUAUUUAUUUUAUGAAUUGGAUGCACAUCCUGCCGGGUUUUCCAAGUGGUUCUGACAACAGAAUCCCUCAUCUAUAAUACCCAUCCACAGCCCUCAUCUAUAGCUCCCUUGUUGUUCUGAGGAUAAUAUAUUGAUUGAGCUGCUUUCGAUGGCGUUCUUUCCAUGCUUCUCACAUGAGGAAGAAUUACUGCUGUUUUUCCCCAGGAGACCUAAAACGACUGCAUUUUUACACAUGUUAUUUACUGUAUACGUUCUAAUAUCAAAAUGGUCAAUUCAUUUAUAAUCUUUUUAAACACGCCUUAGAGAAUUAAAAAGUCUCCUCUUAUGUUUGUAUGGGAAGGCUCUUAGUUUCUUUUGCACAUAAGUUUUACUUUGCAACCCAUUAAUUGAUCAUGUGUCCAUAAAUAGUUAACAUUAAUUAUGCAUAAUUAGCAUAUGAUAAUGUAGGACACAUGUUUCAAGUGAAUAUUAGACAGCAUAAUUAUACUGAAUAUUAUUGCGUUCAGUUAUGUAGGUCUACUCAAAAUAUGAUGGAUGGUGUGUUCAUCUCUACUGAAUCCAUUUACCUGGCCUACAGCGAUGAUUUUAAAAUAAACACAGUGGGAAAUAAAUGCACAUAAGUUAAAUACUGUUAAGCACUAAGGAGUAUUUCCAAGUAGUAAGAGCUGAAGGGCAGCUGACCAGUUGUUUUGCCUUUAGAUAGAUUAUUUUAGAUCCAUAUUGUAGAUUUUAGAGCUCAGCUUUAAAAUCCUUCAGAACUCAAAGGCUGUUUUAUGUAAACUGUUCUGACAGGCAAAACGGUUCCUUUUUAAAUAUAAUUCACCUCUGCUCUGCAGGCUUAUUGUGAGGAACAAAAACAUCUAUGCGUAACAACAAACAACUAUUUUUGGCAUAUGCAGAAUGGAAGGUGCUUAAGCAGAAGGGAAACCCUCCUGCAUUGUACUGUUGGUCCUAAAGCACCAGGUGAAAUCCAGCAAGAGAAAUAAGGCUCCGGCCCUGGGAUACCUUGAGAGCCUGAUGAUCUCAGUUCCUGCCUUCCCAGAAUUUACUGUCAAGAGAGGGAUUCACACAAGUAAACAGGCAAUCAAAAGUCAGACCCCACUGCAUGGUUAAUGACACAAGUUGGAGGAAGCUUGGGGAUUGUGCCAGUGGACACAGACACUAACCUUGUCAAAGCAGAAAGAGACGACAUACUUAUGGUACGGAGAGCCACUCAGUUCCUAAGCUCCUGAAGCAACUGGGAAGCAAGAGAUUUGAUGUCAACACACUUACCCCAUGGUAGGACUUCUCCAAAGGCAGCAGCCAUCAAUCAUCUCUCCUAAAAGUGCAGAUGAACAGAGGACUCAUUCUGAGUCAUGUAAUGAGGCAACAGAUGAAGAACAUUGCAACAUAAUCCAUAGCCCCUCACCGACUGCUGCAGCAUCCAAGCAGAUGAACAGAUAGAUCCUGGUCCUAAGUGAGCUGUUUUGCUUGUCUGAGACCCUCCAGCCUACAGGACAGAUACCCACUGUAUUGCCUUUACUGUGUCAGCCUGGGCACUAACCUCCUUUAAAACAUCGCCUCUAUGGAAAAAAUGUGUUUCAAAUCGUAAACAACUCACAUGCAAAUAAACGUUUUGGAAUUCAACCUGUUUGUAGGUUGGAGACAGCUGAUACUUAUAAUGCAGUAAAUUUUAUUCAAAAGGAAAGAACCCAUAAUAUGAAUUAACCCAUUGUUUCAGCCUUAAGCGAUAAAUAAUACUAGCAAUAAAACCAAGGUGUUGGAAAGUUUCAGAAGGUCAAUUGGGAGCAUAAUGCGUGGUAUUAUUGUGUUCUAGCAUAAGCUUCAGCUUGCUAUUGAGGUAACUGCCAAGACCUGAGGAGGUGCCUGGUCCUCAGAAGUCCUCGGAGUCGAACACAUAUUAAACAUAAUUUAAUUUCACAACUCCAUAGAUUAGGCUAUAUUAUUACCUACGUUUUAUAGAUGGGUAAACUGAGACACAGAGGAGUGAAAUAGCUUUCUUAUAGCAUAGGGCUCAUGAACGUCUAAGCUAUGAUUUUUAUUAGGCAAUGUGACCACUGAGCACACUUCACCAUGUGCGGGUCACAAGAGUCAGAUAAAGGAGGUCAUCUGGGUCAUAAUGUUAUACCUAAAGAAUAAGAAAAGGAAAAAAAAAAAAAAAGGCCAAACACUGCCUUGGCUUGGGCAGUUCCCUGUGACAACACUAUCAGAGGAAGAAGAAUCUUGUGAGUGAGUGUGGGUGUGCAUUUGGAAGUGCACAGUUGCAUAUUUGGCAUGUUUAAAUUUAACAUCGGAGGAUUGGACUUAAGGAUUGGACUUUCGAUGCCUUGAUUGUCUGAUUUCCACAAUACUAUUCUUGCUCAUGCCUGAGGGCCAUAACAAGGAAGUCCCUAGAGUCUAGACCUUCUUGUGGUCUUAAAAACAAUGGAUUUUGUCUAUUUAGGUCUCCAUAAAAUACAGUGAGCUUUGCCUUUUAUGACUUUUCAAUGUCAGUUU